CGGCGACCGGCGCACGGGUGCGUAACGCGUAUGUAACCUACCUUUGACAGGGGGAUAACAUCGAGAAAUUGGUACUAAUACCCCAUAACAUCACCGGAGGCAUCUUCGGUGGUUGAAAACUCAGGUGGUCAGAGAUGGACAUGCGUUGUAUUAGCUAGUUGGUGAGGUAACGGCUCACCAAGGCGACGAUACAUAGGGGGACUGAGAGGUCAACCCCCCACAUUGGUACUGAGACACGGACCAAACUCCUACGGGAGGCAGCAG
This 264-nucleotide ribosomal RNA is filed under the name uncultured bacterium. RNAcentral describes it as "partial 16S ribosomal RNA". It matches the Rfam family "Bacterial small subunit ribosomal RNA", at positions 89 to 354 of the family's 1533-position model. The record is from RNAcentral.